Molecule: transfer-messenger RNA, 350 nt
Filed under: Anaerolineaceae bacterium
Lineage: Bacteria; Bacillati; Chloroflexota; Anaerolineae; Anaerolineales; Anaerolineaceae
Rfam family: transfer-messenger RNA
About the family: Bacterial tmRNA, also known as 10Sa RNA or SsrA, is named for its dual tRNA and mRNA-like properties. Its role is to liberate the mRNA from a stalled ribosome. To accomplish this part of the tmRNA is used as a reading frame that ends in a translation stop signal.
Source: RNAcentral
GCCGAGAGGUACCGAACUCGUAAAACCAGUACAAACCAUAAGUGCCAACCGCACUUCCUAUGCAGCUCUGCCCCUCGCCGCAUAACGACGAGUAAGAGCUCAAAUGGCGCCUCGUGCGCCACGUCUGCCUGCUCCGUUCUCCAACCGGUAGCAGAGCGGGCGUCACAAAGUUGGAGUGCCGCUUACCACUCCGUGGGGUAUGCGAAAGAGGACUUUCGGGUCUGAGCGGAUAGUUGUCUGAUGCUUCUGUCAUUCUCACAUCUGACGGCGAGACAUAAGAUUGACUAAGCUUGUAGAAGUUCGAGGGUCUAAUCGAUCGGACGCGGGUUCAAUUCCCGCCAUCUCCACCU